This 21-nucleotide non-coding RNA is filed under the name Caenorhabditis elegans. Lineage: Eukaryota; Metazoa; Nematoda; Chromadorea; Rhabditida; Rhabditidae. The record is from RNAcentral.
UGCCCAGAUCCAUCAGAGUCC